UACGGGGGGGGCAAGCGUUGUUCGGAAUUACUGGGCGUAAAGGGCUCGUAGGCGGCCAACUAAGUCGGAUGUGAAAUCCCCAGGCUCAACUUGGGAACUGCAUCCGAUACUGGAUGGCUUGAAUUCGGGAGAGGGAUGCAGAAUUCCAGGUGUAGCGGUGAAAUGCGUAGAUAUCUGGAGGAAUACCGGUGGCGAAGGCGGCAUCCUGGACCGACAUUGACGCCGAGGAGCGAAAGCUAGGGGAGCAAACGGG
RNAcentral lists this ribosomal RNA (253 nucleotides) under uncultured bacterium. RNAcentral describes it as "partial 16S ribosomal RNA". It matches the Rfam family "Bacterial small subunit ribosomal RNA", at positions 524 to 776 of the family's 1533-position model. The record is from RNAcentral.